CCUACGGGGGGCAGCAGUGGGGGAUAUUGCACAAUGGGGGGAACCCUGAUGCAGCGACGCCGCGUGGGUGAAGAAGGGCCUCGGCGCGUAAAGCCCUGUCAGCAGGGAAGAAAAUGACGGUACCUGAAGAAGAAGCCCCGGCUAACGCCGUGCCAGCAGCCGCGGUAAUACGUAGGGGGCAAGCGUUAUCCGGAUUUACUGGGGGUAAAGGGGGCGGAGACGGGGCUGCAAGCCAGGAGUGAAAGCCCGGGGCCCAACCCCGGGACUGCUCUUGAAACUGCGUGGCUGGAGUGCAGGAGGGGCAGGCGGAAUUCCUGGUGUAGCGGUGAAAUGCGUAGAUAUCAGGAGGCACCCCGGUGGCGAAGGCGGCCUGCUGGACUGCACCUGACGUUGAGGCCCGAAAGCGUGGGGAGCAAACAGGAUUAGAUACCCGGGUAGUC
Molecule: ribosomal RNA, 440 nt
Filed under: uncultured bacterium
Lineage: Bacteria
Description: partial 16S ribosomal RNA
Rfam family: Bacterial small subunit ribosomal RNA
Source: RNAcentral